RNAcentral lists this ribosomal RNA (429 nucleotides) under Acidobacteriota bacterium. RNAcentral describes it as "Acidobacteria bacterium partial 16S ribosomal RNA". It matches the Rfam family "Bacterial small subunit ribosomal RNA", at positions 355 to 776 of the family's 1533-position model. Lineage: Bacteria; Pseudomonadati; Acidobacteriota. The record is from RNAcentral.
UGGGGAAUUUUGGACAAUGGGGGAAACCCUGAUCCAGCCAUCCCGCGUGUGCGAUGAAGGCCUUCGGGUUGUAAAGCACUUUUGGCAGGAAAGAAACGUCAUGGGUUAAUACCCCGUGAAACUGACGGUACCUGCAGAAUAAGCACCGGCUAACUACGUGCCAGCAGCCGCGGUAAUACGUAGGGUGCAAGCGUUAAUCGGAAUUACUGGGCGUAAAGCGUGCGCAGGCGGUUCGGAAAGAAAGAUGUGAAAUCCCAGGGCUCAACUUUGGAACUGCAUUUUUAACUACCGGGCUAGAGUGUGUCAGAGGGAGGUGGAAUUCCGCGUGUAGCAGUGAAAUGCGUAGAUAUGCGGAGGAACACCGAUGGCGAAGGCAGCCUCCUGGGAUAACACUGACGCUAAUGCACGAAAGCGUGGGGAGCAAACAGG